RNAcentral lists this small RNA (1436 nucleotides) under Arabidopsis thaliana (thale cress). RNAcentral describes it as "ATSL070740". The record is from RNAcentral. Lineage: Eukaryota; Viridiplantae; Streptophyta; Magnoliopsida; Brassicales; Brassicaceae.
AUUGUUUUAUAUAAUGUAUGUUCAUAUAAAGUAAAGUUGAAUGCAUCUGUUUUUUUAAACAUAAAUAUGAUUUGUAAUUGUUUUCAAAAAGUCCAACUAUAUUAGUUCAUCUGAAAACGAAAGUGCUUGAAUUGUUUUUUAUUGUUGUUCUAGAUUCUCCGUUGUUUUUUUAAUUUAUAUAUCCUUGUUCUUUUAGUUAUAUAUUUAGUUUGUGAGACGGUGAAAUUUUAGAAAAUUUAAUUCUUACAUUAAAAAUAUAACAUGUCUUUAUUAACCAUGUCUCUGCAUAUCCAAUAUAAUCAUAUUCAACUUGAUGUUCUUGAAAAAUUUAGUUAAAUUCUUGUCAUAAUUUGUAUUAGUUAUAAGGAUAGCUCCUUAAACAUCUUUCAAAUUACUUGUUUUCUUAGCAUAAAUCUCAAAAAGCUUAGAUAUAUUUAAUUUGCAUAUUCAUUUAGUUUCUUUCAUAAUAAUCGUCUAAUUUUUAGGCAAGGAAUCUAUAUAUACAUUUUUGCAGCCAUUUUGUGAAAUAAAUCCUGUAGUUGGACUUAUUUACAAUAGUUGCCACUGGAUUUUAAUGUUUGUUUUUGAUAAUUAAAAAGAAAAUCUUCGAAUUAAAUAUUUGACAUUUAACAAUCUUCCCAAAAUCUCUCCACAUUAACUACACGAUUAUUUACUAAAAUAUUACUUCCAACAUAUUUAAUAUCAUUUAAUUACUACAAAAUUAUCAUUUUUGAUAUUGCUUCUCUCCAUAACUAUAACAAUUCGAUUAUAAUCAUCAAAGCGCAGAGAUAUAAUCUGAUAGCAUUUAAUUACUACAAAAUUACAAAAUAUUUAGACAAUGAUUCAUAAACAUAUCAUAAAUAAGAUCAACAUUAAUAAAAUAAAUGGUUUUUUUUUUAGAGGACGGGUUUGGCAGGACGUUACUUAAUAACAUUUGUAAACUAUAAAAUAAAAUUAUUUUAUAGAUAGAUACAAUUUAUAAACUUUUAUAUAUACUAAAUUUAAAAAAUAAAUUGUUCCCUCGGUAUACCGCGGGUUAAAAUUUAGUAUGUGUAACAUGUUUGGAUCUCAAAAUUAAAGAGAAUAUAUUGAAUUAAAAAAUGUAGAAAGAGUGAUGGUUCAAGUUCUGAUUAAUUAUAUCCUCCUAUUUUAGUUAUUAUGUUGAAUUAAUUACUAAUUAUGUAUUAUUUAUUUUAUGAAGUCUAGGUGCCAAGCUCUCAUGUGCUGAUGUGUCAAAUUGUGGGAGAGAGUUGACCAACUUUCAUAUAUAUGAUUAGGUUAAUUAGAUAAGACCUAAAACGACGACGUUUGCUGCUCUCUCUGUAAUCUCAAGAUUCUGAUUAGGGAAGGAUUUCAAAACGGUACGUAGUCGGUUUAGUUAGGGAGCGGUAAAUUGGUCAGACCGGACCAAUGGUUUUAUUACAUUGAUUUGGUUA